Molecule: ribosomal RNA, 576 nt
Filed under: Triticum aestivum (bread wheat)
Lineage: Eukaryota; Viridiplantae; Streptophyta; Magnoliopsida; Poales; Poaceae
Description: partial small subunit ribosomal RNA
Source: RNAcentral
AUGUAUCACUGGAGCACAUCGUCUUCUCCUUGUUAUAGCAACAGCGGCAGCGGCAGCGGCAGCAAUGGUCCCUUGCUCCCCUCCAUGGCGUCCAGCAGCUACGGUGAUCUGCUGCUCCUACAAGAGCAGCAGCAGCAGCAUCACUACUACUCCCAGUCGAUGCAGCGUGUGAUGAGCGCCGGAGACCUCCAAGCUCUUGCGGUGCCGCCGGGGACGGGGCCGGCUCCGGUGGGGCGGUACAGCGCGGAGGAGCGGCGGGAGCGCAUCGAGAAGUACCGCACCAAGCGCAACCAACGCAACUUCCAGAAGAAGAUCACGUACGCUUGCCGGAAGACGCUGGCGGACAGCCGGCCGAGGGUGAAGGGCCGCUUCGCGCGCAACGUCGACGACGACGCAGCAGCAGAUCAGCCGGAGGAUCCGACGACGACCAUGACGACGGCGGCUGUGUCUCUGGUCAACGACGCCAGCAGCAGCAUGCCGCCGGAGUGGUGGCCGGCAAUGCAGGGCGCGCUGGCCGUGGAGGACGACGAGCUCAUCGCCUCCUACCUCGCCGUCUCCUCCAUCAACCUCUACUAG